Molecule: ribosomal RNA, 433 nt
Filed under: uncultured bacterium
Lineage: Bacteria
Description: bacterial SSU rRNA
Rfam family: Bacterial small subunit ribosomal RNA
Source: RNAcentral
GACGAACGCUGGCGGCAGGCUUAACACAUGCAAGUCGAGCGCCCUGCUUGCAGGGAGCGGCAGACGGGUGAGUAACGCGUGGGAACGUGCCCUUCGGUACGGAAUAGCCCCGGGAAACUGGGUGUAAUACCGUAUACGACCUCCGGGUGAAAGAUUUAUCGCCGAAGGAUCGGCCCGCGUUGGAUUAGCUUGAUGGUGGGGUAACGGCCUACCAUGGCGACGAUCCAUAGCUGUUCUGAGAGGAAGAUCAGCCACACUGGGACUGAGACACGGCCCAGACUCCUACGGGAGGCAGCAGUGGGGAAUAUUGGACAAUGGGCGAAAGCCUGAUCCAGCCAUGCCGCGUGGAUGAAGAAGGCCCUAGGGUUGUAAAGUCCUUUCGGUGGUGAAGAUAAUGACGGUAACCACAAAAGAAGCCCCGGCUAAUUUCGUG